AUGAAGUGGCUGAGCUUUGGUCCAUCCCAUUUCUGCUCCACUUCUUCUCCAUCACCCCCGCCUGGCUCCGGCUUUCAUCAGCAUCUUCUCAGGGACUUUCAGAAAAAAAUCUUGGAGCAUUCUCUGUCUCUGCAUCUCUUCCUCUUUCCCUCUCCUUGUCUCUGUCUCUGUCUCUGUCUCUGUCUCUGUCUCUGCAUCUCUUCCUCUUUCCCUCUCCUUGUCUCUGUCUCUGUCUCUGUCUCUGCAUCUCUUCCUCUUUCCCUCUCCUUGUCUCUGUCUCUGUCUCUGUCUCUGUCUCUGCAUCUCUUCCUCUUUCUCUCUCCUUGUCUCUGUCCCUCCCUAUCUCUCUCCAGUUACCUCGUUGUCCCUUUCUGUGGCUGCUGUCAUCUUCACCUUCUUGGAUUUCUGUUCUCUGAAGACGUGAAGCAGCAGUUCGCCUGCUCAGGGCUGCUUAUCUGCCCAGAGGGCCUCUACCAGCUUUCCCAUUGCACAGCCAUCUUUCUUCCCUCCUGGCAAGCUCAGGGCAGUGCAGGGUUCGCCUGUUGGCUGCAUCGUGGCAUUCGUGUCUGGGGGUGGGGUGGAGGCUGCGUUUACUGGGAGGGCUCUGUCCCUCGUGCUGGCCUCGCGCCACGUCUCCAGGACCCGAGGGAGACGGUGCCCUCUGAGAAGGUGGCUGCUUCUCGUUCUUUUCUUUCCCAUUCACUGGCGCUCCGUGGCAUCUCCAUUCCCAACUCGUUGGUCUCCCUCGUGUUUCUUUGCUGAGAUCCGUCUUUCCCCAGAAGCAGGGAAGCUGUUCCGUCGCCGGUGCGGGCUGCCCGUGGUCGGGUCUCGGCCCCUGCAAAAGGAAGGGACUGGAAUCGACCCAACAGAAGGGUGGCCUUGCCUCGAUUUCUCUACAAGUUCGGUAACGUAUGACCAAAGCCGUGGCCGGCCGUCAUCACAAAAGGGAGGCCGGAAUCACUGAGAGCCGGGACGACGUCGGUGAGAGCAGGCCAGGCCGGGGUGGCCGUUUCCUUUCUCUGACAGGAUAAAGGAAAUGCCAGCGCACAGAAGGGCUGAGCUGAGGGGGCAGCUGGCCCAGGGCUGCCCCGAGGACUUGGCGAAGCGUGGCACGCUAUUCUUUUUUUUCCCUUCCUGGGGUUUAUUUGAAUGUUCACGCCCUCGGUUCAAACAGAGCCCAGCAAGGAAGGCCGGAGGGUCAGGGCACUCAGGACGGCAAACGCUUUUUGUCUGCCUCCCGGACGUCAACCCCCUCAGGAGUUCUGGGUGAAUGUGGUGAGGUGGCGCCCGCUCAGGGUCUUUGGCCCAUCUUCGUUGGGGCUCCAUCAAGCUCCUCGUGUGUGGAUCUGUUGGAUGAGGAAGUCUCGUGGCAGCGGCCGCCUUGGUAUGUGCAAUAGGGGUCACGUCUUUGUCGAUGCAGAAGUGCGCCUCGGAGGCUGGCAGGAGCUCUCUGUCCAGGGCAGAGAUGCCACUCGUCUACCGUGGCUGGACACGGAACUCCUGUUCAGUGAGGGCCAAGGAGCCAGGCAGCGGGGCCAUGGGCAUGGCGGUACAGAGCGCGGGG
This 1564-nucleotide long non-coding RNA is filed under the name Monodelphis domestica (gray short-tailed opossum). Its description in RNAcentral is "lncRNA (ENSMODG00000049020.1)". The record is from RNAcentral. Lineage: Eukaryota; Metazoa; Chordata; Mammalia; Didelphimorphia; Didelphidae.